RNAcentral lists this ribosomal RNA (499 nucleotides) under uncultured bacterium. RNAcentral describes it as "partial 16S ribosomal RNA". It matches the Rfam family "Bacterial small subunit ribosomal RNA", at positions 30 to 523 of the family's 1533-position model. The record is from RNAcentral.
AUUGAACGCUGGCGGCAUGCCUUACACAUGCAAGUCGAACGGCAGCACGGGAGCAAUCCUGGUGGCGAGUGGCGAACGGGUGAGUAAUAUAUCGGAACGUGCCCAGUCGUGGGGGAUGACGUAGCGAAAGCUACGCUAAUACCGCAUACGAUCUAUGGAUGAAAGCGGGGGAUCGCAAGACCUCGCGCGAUUGGAGCGGCCGAUAUCAGAUUAGGUAGUUGGUGGGUAAAGGCUCACCAAGCCAACGAUCUGUAGCUGGUCUGAGAGGACGACCAGCCACACUGGAACUGAGACACGGUCCAGACUCCUACGGGAGGCAGCAGUGGGGAAUUUUGGACAAUGGACGCAAGUCUGAUCCAGCCAUUCCGCGUGCAGGAUGAAGGCCCUCGGGUUGUAAACUGCUUUUGUACGGAACGAAAAGGUCUCUCUUAAUACGGGGGACUCAUGACGGUACCGUAAGAAUAAGCACCGGCUAACUACGUGCCAGCAGCCGCCGUAA